AUCUUAGAGUUCUUUUUGGAGAGAAGACAGAGAGAGCCAGUAGAGAUUUUGUAUUGUUGUUCUUCAGCAGAGAUUCAUACCUCAUGUCAGCGUUUUCAUCUUUUGAUUUUCUUCUUCUUCGAUUUCUAGGUUUGAUAUGUUUAUGGAAAUCUCAAAUUUAGUUCAUUCAAAUUCCAUUUAGCCCUUAAUCUCAUCUUACAUCGAUUAUUCUUCAUCCCAUUUAUGGAAAGCUCUGAUUCACCGUGUUGUUUAAUUUCGAUGAUAUGUAAAUCUCAAGAGAUGAGGGAAGAAGAUCUGAUUGCAUCUGUUAAGAAAUUUUGAGCUUCCUGAAAGGAUUUCGUAUUUAAGGCUUCAAACGUGGAUAGCCAGAUAGUGGACGAUUGGGUUUAUUCUUCAGUUGGGAGAAAUGGAGGAACUGCCUCGAAUUGAUAGGUCAUACUUGGCUUGUAUUUUGUGCUGUGGAAAAUCAGAGGAGAAACUGAAGCUUACAGCCUUGAGUUCGUUGGGCAUUAGCUAAUGUUGGUGGUGUCUCGAGUACCCACGGUGGGAUUUGUUUGUUGCUGGUGUUGAUUAUUAGUGGAUGCACAUGUAGCUCGGACAUGAAAUAAACCCAAUCUAUAAAUCAAGCUGGUAGUCUAUUGCGAGUCUUCAGCCGAUGGUUUGUUCUUUUUGAAGUACUGGUGCAUCUCUGGUAAAAUAAGAACUAAUAAACACUUCAAUUUUUUUUUUAUUCUUUAGUGUGUACAUGAGCGAGCAGAAGAUGCACUGAAAAAGAAUAAAAUAAGAAGCCACUUAAUGAUGAGAAUCUUUGUAGAGGUGUACAUGGGUAUACAGAUCGUAAAGCUGGUUUAGAAGAGAAUAUACAGUUGCUGGUGACAAAUCUGGUAGAGCACAUGGACCACUUAUGUCUUUUUCUCAUGUUAGGACGUCUUCCAGGUAGGAAUAUCAACCGGAUAUAUAUGUAAUGAUUAUAAGGAUACUGGUUUUUAUGGGUUAGGAGAUUCUUGCAAGUUUAUGCAUGAUGGAGAAGAUUAUAAGUCUGGAUGGCAGAUGGAGAGGGAACGGGAGGAAGCUGAGAAGAUUCGAAAGAGGAAUUUAGCUUUCUUUGAGCAUUAAGGAAAAGGAAAAGCAAGCGCUAAGCAAGGCAGAACCCAGCUCAGGACAGAUGUGCACUUCGGUGGGAGACAUACAAAAUAAAUGGAUGUGAAUACUUGGCUCCGUUGGGAUUCCAUUGGAUGUUUACGGUACAUUCAAGAUUAUUGAGAGGAAGGAUACUGCUGAACAGAAAAAGUGGCUUGUGUUAGAUUUGAAUAGCAUACUUGUUAGUGGUGCUUAUGUGGAGUUGUAUGUGAUGUACAAACCGGUGCACGUUGUCUUGUCUUUGGAUUUUGUAGAUUUGUAUGUCUUACACCAGUGUAAAUUAAGAUAUUUAAAAAAUAAAAAUUAUAUGGUCAUAUAGGUACUCUUUUUGUCGAGCUCGAAAAAAGUUUUCCGAAUAUAUAAAGUUUGCGAAUUUUGGA
This is a long non-coding RNA of Papaver somniferum (opium poppy), 1520 nucleotides long. RefSeq lists it as uncharacterized. The record is from RefSeq and is a predicted model, not a curated record. Lineage: Eukaryota; Viridiplantae; Streptophyta; Magnoliopsida; Ranunculales; Papaveraceae. The transcript is spliced from 5 exons.